CCUACGGGAGGCAGCAGUGGGGAAUCUUGCACAAUGGGGGAAACCCUGAUGUAGCGACGCCGCGUGAGUGAAGAAGUAAUUCGUUACGUAAAGUUCUAUCAUCAGCGAAGAAACACUUACCUUACUGUCAGCAGACGGUACCUGAGUAAGAAGCCCCGGCUAACUACGUGCCAGCAGCCGCGGUAAUACGGAGGGUGCAAGCGUUAUCCGGAUUUACUGGGUGUAAAGGGAGCGUAGACGGUGCGCCACGUCUGGAGUGAAAUGCGGCAGCUUACCUGCGGAACUGCUUGGGAAACUGGCGAACUAGAGUGCGGGAGGGGUAAGCGGAAUUCCUAGUGUAGGAGGGAAAUGCGUAGAUAUUAGAAGGAACACCGGUAGCGAAGGCGGCUUACUGGACCGUAACUGACGUUGAGGCUCGAAAGCGUAGGGAGCAAACAGGAUUAGAUACCCCUGUAGUC
This 458-nucleotide ribosomal RNA is filed under the name uncultured bacterium. RNAcentral's name for it is "partial 16S ribosomal RNA". It matches the Rfam family "Bacterial small subunit ribosomal RNA", at positions 338 to 795 of the family's 1533-position model. The record is from RNAcentral.